CAGUGUCACAGCUCUUUUAUAAUUUGUCUAGCAGGUUUUCUGGUUCUUCACGAGAACCCCU
Molecule: small nuclear RNA, 61 nt
Organism: Macaca mulatta (Rhesus monkey)
Lineage: Eukaryota; Metazoa; Chordata; Mammalia; Primates; Cercopithecidae
Gene: U7
Rfam family: U7 small nuclear RNA
About the family: Animal histone pre-mRNAs are spliced by a different mechanism than nuclear pre-mRNAs and self-splicing introns. This processing involves the U7 snRNP, which contains only one RNA species: U7. The 5' end of U7 RNA is thought to base-pair to a conserved spacer element downstream of the cleavage site in histone pre-mRNA.
Source: Ensembl